GGUCUCAUGGUCUAGUGGUUAGGACAUUGGACUCUGAAUCCAGUAACCCUUGUUCAAAUCUCGGUGAGACCU
Molecule: transfer RNA, 72 nt
Filed under: Ipomoea nil (Japanese morning glory)
Lineage: Eukaryota; Viridiplantae; Streptophyta; Magnoliopsida; Solanales; Convolvulaceae
Rfam family: tRNA
About the family: Transfer RNA (tRNA) molecules are approximately 80 nucleotides in length. Their secondary structure includes four short double-helical elements and three loops (D, anti-codon, and T loops).
Source: Rfam by way of RNAcentral